Molecule: small nucleolar RNA, 85 nt
Filed under: Kryptolebias marmoratus (mangrove rivulus)
Lineage: Eukaryota; Metazoa; Chordata; Actinopteri; Cyprinodontiformes; Rivulidae
Description: Small nucleolar RNA SNORD35 (ENSKMAG00000018580.1)
Rfam family: Small nucleolar RNA SNORD35
About the family: U35 is a C/D box snoRNA located in intron 6 of ribosomal protein L13A and intron 3 of ribosomal protein S11 in humans and at homologous positions in mouse and chicken ribosomal protein genes. U35 guides the methylation of 2'-O-ribose sites in 28S rRNA.
Source: Rfam by way of RNAcentral
UGCAAAUGAUGCUUUUUCUCACGAUGGUCUUCCAAGCCUUCUGGGUUUUGACGACAAUGCCUAUUGGCAAUGCUGAUGCAGUCCA